UACGAAGGGGGCUAGCGUUGUUCGGAAUUACUGGGCGUAAAGGGCGCGUACGCGGCUUAUCAAGUCAUGCGUGAAAGCCCCGGGCUUAACCUGGGAACUGCGCUUGAGACUGGUAGGCUAGAGUACCGGACAGGUAGGUGGAAUUCCCAGUGUAGAGGUGAAAUUCAUAGAUAUUGGGAAGAACACCAGUGGCGAACGCGGCCUACUGGACUGUAACUGACGCUGAGGCGCGAAAGCGUGGGGAGCAAACAGG
RNAcentral lists this ribosomal RNA (253 nucleotides) under Niveispirillum sp. Its description in RNAcentral is "partial 16S ribosomal RNA". It matches the Rfam family "Bacterial small subunit ribosomal RNA", at positions 524 to 776 of the family's 1533-position model. The record is from RNAcentral. Lineage: Bacteria; Pseudomonadati; Pseudomonadota; Alphaproteobacteria; Rhodospirillales; Azospirillaceae.